CGCACCUUGCGCUCCUUGGUAUUCCGAGGAGCAUGCCUGUUUGAGUGUCAUGGUAUUCUCAACUCUGACUUGUUUCUGACACGUCUGAGUUGGAUGUGGAGGUUUUGCUGGUGCUUGCCACCGGCUCCUCUGAAAUGUAUUAGUGUGGACGCUUCCCCAAGUGAGCCCUCAGUGUGAUAAUUGUCUACGCUGUGGGUGUGGGGUUUAUGCAAAGUCUGUGCUUCGAACUGUCUUCUAUGGAGACAACCUUUGACAUCUGACCUCAAAUCAGGUAGGACUACCCGCUGAACUUAA
This 294-nucleotide unclassified non-coding RNA is filed under the name Steccherinum litschaueri. Its description in RNAcentral is "partial contains 5.8S ribosomal RNA, internal transcribed spacer 2, and large subunit ribosomal RNA". Lineage: Eukaryota; Fungi; Basidiomycota; Agaricomycetes; Polyporales; Steccherinaceae. The record is from RNAcentral.